Long non-coding RNA from Condylura cristata (star-nosed mole), 207 nucleotides. RefSeq lists it as uncharacterized. The transcript has 3 exons. Lineage: Eukaryota; Metazoa; Chordata; Mammalia; Eulipotyphla; Talpidae. The record is from RefSeq and is a predicted model, not a curated record.
AGGAUGGAGAGCCAGAAGGAGACCUGAGGAAGCCACAUGUAGCAAAGGGAGAAGUGAAGAAAACGUGUUUGUUUCUUGGCCCUGGACUUGUUGAAAGAGAUGUGGGGCUUUGGUUUGCUUUUUCCGUGAAAUACGCAGAGGACCAAUAAAAUCUAUUCAUAUAUUCAGGUUGUCCACAAAAGCUGGAACCAUGACCGCAGGCAGCUU